Molecule: transfer RNA, 78 nt
Filed under: Acidobacteriota bacterium
Lineage: Bacteria; Pseudomonadati; Acidobacteriota
Description: Acidobacteria bacterium (wastewater metagenome) tRNA-Pro
Rfam family: tRNA
About the family: Transfer RNA (tRNA) molecules are approximately 80 nucleotides in length.
Source: RNAcentral
CGGGGCGUGGCUCAGGCUGGUUAGAGCGCACGGUUCGGGACCGUGAAGUCGGAGGUUCAAAUCCUCUCGCCCCGACCA